AGAAGUAAAAGUCGUAACAAGGUCUCCGUUGGUGAACCAGCGGAGGGAUCAUUA
This 54-nucleotide ribosomal RNA is filed under the name Ophiostoma quercus. Its description in RNAcentral is "partial 18S ribosomal RNA". It matches the Rfam family "Eukaryotic small subunit ribosomal RNA", at positions 1778 to 1831 of the family's 1831-position model. Lineage: Eukaryota; Fungi; Ascomycota; Sordariomycetes; Ophiostomatales; Ophiostomataceae. RNAcentral also lists the same sequence under 6 other names. The record is from RNAcentral.